UGCUGAUUCUAGUUUGUGAUAUGUAAUAACUUGUUCAGACGGGCAAAGAACCCCCAAAACAAGACAAGGGACUUAGGGAGGGAAAUUUUUCUACUUCCUAAACAUGUUAUUGAGAAAUAACAAAACAACAUUAAAAAGAGAGAGAGAGAGAGAGAUUUCAGGCUAAGCAGCACUGCCAAACACUUGUUUUUAAAGGAAGAGGCAGUAAAUAUUGUGGGUGUAGCAGUUUCUGUCUCAACUAUUCAGCUCUGCUGUCACAAUGUGAAAGAAACCACAGCAGAGAAGGUCACCACUACUCCCUCUUCAUCACAGAAUCAGCAGUUCUUUAUGUGGCCAUCACAAGCAGCUAGGACAUGAAUUUGGUGGAUGCUGCAAGCAAAUAGGGUGGAAAGAAAGAAGCAAAAGGCAAGCUCGCCGUCCCUCACAUUUAUGCAUCUGGAGACUAUCUGCCCUCACCCGCUUUCAAGUCCUCUCCCUGAAUCCACUCUGAAUCCACGCUGAAUCCUCUCCCUGAAUCCAAUCCGCAGCAGGGGGGAAUCUCGUGCCCAGCAGAUAGAGGAAAAUCCUCAGGCUUGGUUCACUGAUGGAAUGGCUUGCAAAACAGCUCACCAGAGUCCUAAAAGAGCUGCCCCCAGUACUUAUACAAAGCAUUGGAUCUGAGUCGUAUAGGGGUACAUUGAAGUGGAUGCUAUGAUUCACCUCUCACAUGCCUGUUCAGGAAUGGUGGACUUAUUCCCUUAACUGCUGGGAUGGUGUCAGAAGAGAGCCCUCAACUGUCAACCUUCUUCAGGAUUUGCUUCUCUCAAGGUCAUACUCCUACCCCAGGACAUCUUCCACCCAAUGACUGGCUGAUGCAGGAUGAAGAGUGCCCAGUUCCCUGGCACCAAUUUGGGAUAAUUCUAGUGGGCUUCCAAGCUAUCUGUAGGAAUGGCUGGUGUCUUCAUUGAGACUAUAUAAAAACCAAA
Molecule: long non-coding RNA, 965 nt
Organism: Mustela lutreola (European mink)
Lineage: Eukaryota; Metazoa; Chordata; Mammalia; Carnivora; Mustelidae
Exons: 5
Source: RefSeq, a predicted model, not a curated record